UACGUAGGGUGCGAGCGUUGUCCGGAAUUACUGGGCGUACAGAGCUCGUAGGUGGUUUGUCGCGUUGUUCGUGAAAACUCACAGCUUAACUGUGGGCGUGCGGGCGAUACGGGCAGACUGGAGUACUGCAGGGGAGACUGGAAUUCCUGGUGUAGCGGUGGAAUGCGCAGAUAUCAGGAGGAACACCGGUGGCGAAGGCGGGUCUCUGGGCAGUAACUGACGCUGAGGAGCGAAAGCGUGGGGAGCGAACAGG
RNAcentral lists this ribosomal RNA (253 nucleotides) under uncultured bacterium. RNAcentral describes it as "partial 16S ribosomal RNA". It matches the Rfam family "Bacterial small subunit ribosomal RNA", at positions 524 to 776 of the family's 1533-position model. The record is from RNAcentral.